CUCGUAGUUGGAUUUGUGGCUUGUUGCAUGGUCCCAGCUUUUGUUGGGUGCUGUUGCGAGGAGCCAUCCUUGGGUGGAAUCUGUGUGGCAUUAGGUUGUCGCGCAGGGGAUGCCCAUCGUUUACUGUGAAAAAAUUAGAGUGUUCAAAGCAGGCUUAUGCCGUUGAAUAUAUUAGCAUGGAAUAAUGAGAUAGGACCUUGGUACUAUUUUGUUGGUUUGCGCACCGAGGUAAUGAUUAAUAGGGACAGUUGGGGGUAUUCGUAUUCCAUUGUCAGAGGUGAAAUUCUUGGAUUUUUGGAAGACGAACUACUGCGAAAGCAUUUACCAAGGAUGUUUUCAUUAAUCAAGAACGAAAGUUAGGGGAUCGAAGAUGAUUAGAUACNNNNGNUAGUCANA
Molecule: ribosomal RNA, 396 nt
Filed under: Eolimna minima
Lineage: Eukaryota; Bacillariophyta; Bacillariophyceae; Sellaphorales; Sellaphoraceae
Description: partial small subunit ribosomal RNA
Rfam family: Eukaryotic small subunit ribosomal RNA
Source: RNAcentral